UACAGAGGUGGCAAGCGUUGUUCGGAAUUACUGGGCGUAAAGCGCGUGUAGGCGGCUCUUCAAGUCAGGCGUGAAAAGCCCCGGGCGUCAACUCGGGAACGUAGCGCUUGUAUACUGUCGAGCUAGAGUGUGGAAGGGGCGGAUUGGAAUUCCGUGUGUAGCGGUGAAAUGCGUAGAUAUACGGAGGAACACCAGAGGCGAAGGCGGAUCGCUGGGCCGAACACUGACGCUGAGACGCGAAAGCU
RNAcentral lists this ribosomal RNA (245 nucleotides) under uncultured bacterium. Its description in RNAcentral is "partial 16S ribosomal RNA". It matches the Rfam family "Bacterial small subunit ribosomal RNA", at positions 524 to 761 of the family's 1533-position model. The record is from RNAcentral.